GACAACCUGGUUGAUCCUGCCAGUAGUCAUAUGCUUGUCUCAAAGAUUAAGCCAUGCAUGUCUCAGUACAAGCCAAAUUAAGGUGAAACCGCGAAAGGCUCAUUAAAUCAGUUAUGGUUCCUUAGAUCGUACCAACAUUUACUUGGAUAACUGUGGUAAUUCUAGAGCUAAUACAUGCAAACAGAGCUUCGACCGGAGACGGAAGAGGCGCUUUUAUUAGAUCAAAACCAAUCGGCGGCGGGUCCGCUUGCGGGCUCGUCGUCGUUUUCACUGACGAAUCUGAAUAACUUUCUGCUGAUCGCACGGUCUCGCACCGGCGACGCAUCUUUCAAAUGUCUGCCUUAUCAACUGUCGAUGGUAGGUUCUGUGCCUACCAUGGUUGUAACGGGUAACGGGGAAUCAGGGUUCGAUUCCGGAGAGGGAGCCUGAGAAACGGCUACCACAUCCAAGGAAGGCAGCAGGCGCGCAAAUUACCCACUCCCGGCACGGGGAGGUAGUGACGAAAAAUAACGAUACGGGACUCAUCCGAGGCCCCGUAAUCGGAUUGAGAACAAUUUAAAUCCUUUAAC
This 569-nucleotide ribosomal RNA is filed under the name Microtrichalus sp. BM0141. RNAcentral's name for it is "SSU rRNA". It matches the Rfam family "Eukaryotic small subunit ribosomal RNA", at positions 1 to 538 of the family's 1831-position model. The record is from RNAcentral. Lineage: Eukaryota; Metazoa; Arthropoda; Insecta; Coleoptera; Lycidae.